UACGUAGGGGGCAAGCGUUGUCCGGAUUUAUUGGGCGUAAAGCGCGCGCAGGCGGUCUCUUAAGUCUGAUGUGAAAGCCCACGGCUCAACCGUGGAAGGUCAUUGGAUACUGGGUGUCUUGAGUGUGGGAGAGGACAGUGGAAUUCCCAGUGUAGCGGUGAAAUGCGUAGAGAUCGGGAGGAACACCGGUGGCGAAGGCGGCUCACUGGCUCAUUACUGGCGCUGAGGUGCGAAAGCGUGGGGAGCAAACAGG
This 253-nucleotide ribosomal RNA is filed under the name uncultured bacterium. RNAcentral's name for it is "partial 16S ribosomal RNA". It matches the Rfam family "Bacterial small subunit ribosomal RNA", at positions 524 to 776 of the family's 1533-position model. The record is from RNAcentral.